AAGAAGCAAUACCGCGAGGUGGGAGCAAAACUACAAAAAAUAGAUCUCAGUUCGGACUGUAGGCUGCAACUCGCCUACACGAAGUUGGAAUUGCUAGUAAUCGUGGAUCAGCAUGCCACGGUGAAUACGUUCCCGGGUCUUGUACACACCGCCCGUCACACCAUGGGAGCUGGUAACACCCGAAGUCAGUAGUCUAACCGCAAGGAGGACGCUGCCGAAGGUGGGAUUAGCGACUGGGGUGAAGUCGUAACAAGGUAAC
RNAcentral lists this ribosomal RNA (259 nucleotides) under uncultured bacterium. RNAcentral describes it as "partial 16S ribosomal RNA". It matches the Rfam family "Bacterial small subunit ribosomal RNA", at positions 1244 to 1500 of the family's 1533-position model. The record is from RNAcentral.